UCCCCGGGCUCGACGGCGGGCGCCCGUUCCCGCUCGUGCUGGGGAUGGAGGCCGCGGGCACGGUUCUCGCCCUGGGGGA
RNAcentral lists this transfer RNA (79 nucleotides) under Amycolatopsis sp. NBRC 101858. RNAcentral's name for it is "tRNA-Thr". The record is from RNAcentral. Lineage: Bacteria; Bacillati; Actinomycetota; Actinomycetes; Pseudonocardiales; Pseudonocardiaceae.